RNAcentral lists this ribosomal RNA (306 nucleotides) under Triticum aestivum (bread wheat). RNAcentral's name for it is "partial small subunit ribosomal RNA". Lineage: Eukaryota; Viridiplantae; Streptophyta; Magnoliopsida; Poales; Poaceae. The record is from RNAcentral.
AUGAAUGAAAAACAUCUCACCAUCUACCGACGGCGACUUGACCUGACCGGCCAGCAGGUCAGUCUCCGUAUACCAACGAAAACUGCCCUGCUCAUUGGAUUGGAUUGGAUAGGAUGGGCACUGGAUGAGCAGCUAGGUCACCGCCGGGCCGGCGGCAUAAGGGCGCUGUGCCGAGGUUCCCGCAUCCGCAUCUGCAAGCCCUGGUUGGUUUUUGUGACAUUUUGCACAUGUAUUUUCUUCUUUUUAUCAGUUCCAUACAUGUGUUUAUUUACAAAGCACAAAGCACAUGUAUUGCUUUAUUUAUAA